RNAcentral lists this ribosomal RNA (301 nucleotides) under uncultured bacterium. RNAcentral describes it as "partial 16S ribosomal RNA". It matches the Rfam family "Bacterial small subunit ribosomal RNA", at positions 509 to 807 of the family's 1533-position model. The record is from RNAcentral.
CAGCCGCCGCGGUAAUACAGAGGGUGCGAGCGUUAAUCGGAUUUACUGGGCGUAAAGCGUGCGCAGGCGGUUAUAUAAGACAGAUGUGAAAUCCCCGGGCUCAACCUGGGAACUGCAUUUGUGACUGUAUAGCUAGAGUACGGCAGAGGGGGAUGGAAUUCCGCGUGUAGCAGUGAAAUGCGUAGAUAUGCGGAGGAACACCGAUGGCGAAGGCAAUCCCCUGGGCCUGUACUGACGCUCAUGCACGAAAGCGUGGGGAGCAAACAGGAUUAGAUACCCCCGUAGUCCCUGUCUCUUAUAC